RNAcentral lists this ribosomal RNA (464 nucleotides) under uncultured bacterium. RNAcentral describes it as "partial 16S ribosomal RNA". It matches the Rfam family "Bacterial small subunit ribosomal RNA", at positions 28 to 507 of the family's 1533-position model. The record is from RNAcentral.
GACGAACGCUGGCGGCGUGCUUAACACAUGCAAGUCGAACGGAAAGGCCCUGCUUGCAGGGUACUCGAGUGGCGAACGGGUGAGUAACACGUGGGUGAUCUGCCCUGCACUUCGGGAUAAGCCUGGGAAACUGGGUCUAAUACCGGAUAGGAGCCAUUUUAGUGUGAUGGUUGGAAAGUUUUUUCGGUGUAGGAUGAGCUCGCGGCCUAUCAGCUUGUUGGUGGGGUGAUGGCCUACCAAGGCGGCGACGGGUAGCCGGCCUGAGAGGGUGGACGGCCACAUUGGGACUGAGAUACGGCCCAGACUCCUACGGGAGGCAGCAGUGGGGAAUAUUGCACAAUGGGCGCAAGCCUGAUGCAGCGACGCCGCGUGGGGGAUGACGGCCUUCGGGUUGUAAACUCCUUUCGCUAGGGACGAAGCUUUUUGUGACGGUACCUAGAUAAGAAGCACCGGCUAACUACGUG